RNAcentral lists this ribosomal RNA (253 nucleotides) under uncultured Dysgonomonas sp. RNAcentral's name for it is "partial 16S ribosomal RNA". It matches the Rfam family "Bacterial small subunit ribosomal RNA", at positions 524 to 776 of the family's 1533-position model. Lineage: Bacteria; Pseudomonadati; Bacteroidota; Bacteroidia; Bacteroidales; Dysgonomonadaceae. The record is from RNAcentral.
UACGGAGGAUGCGAGCGUUAUCCGGAUUUAUUGGGUUUAAAGGGUGCGCAGGCGGGCUUUUAAGUCAGCGGUGAAAUCUGGACGCUCAACGUUCAAAUUGCCGUUGAAACUGAUUGUCUUGAGUGUAAACGAAGUAGGCGGAAUUCGUUGUGUAGCGGUGAAAUGCAUAGAUAUAACGAGGAACCCCAAUUGCGUAGGCAGCUUACUAGGAUACAACUGACGCUCAUGCACGAAAGUGUGGGUAUCAAACAGG